RNAcentral lists this ribosomal RNA (2091 nucleotides) under human metagenome. Its description in RNAcentral is "bacterial LSU rRNA". It matches the Rfam family "Bacterial large subunit ribosomal RNA", at positions 3 to 2123 of the family's 2925-position model. The record is from RNAcentral.
UCAAGCUAAUAAGAGCGUAGGGUGGAUGCCUUGGUACCAAGAGCCGAAGAAAGACGUGGUAAGCUGCGAAAAGCCAUGGGGAGCUGCAAACAAGCAUUGAUCCAUGGAUAUCUGAAUGGGGAAACCCGGCGGUCGUUGAGGGCCGUCAUCGUAACAUGAAUACAUAGUGUUACGAAGGGAACCCGGUGAACUGAAACAUCUAAGUAGCCGGAGGAAGAGAAAGAAACAUCGAUUCCCAAAGUAGCGGCGAGCGAAAUGGGAAGAGCCUAAACCGAAUCUCUACGGAGAGUCGGGGUUACGGACCUGCGGAAUCGAGAUUACUCAUAGUCGAAUAGUAUUGGAAAGUGCAGCCGGAGAGGGUAAAAGCCCCGUAGGCGAAAUGAGGAAUCGAGAGGCGGGUAUCCAGAGUACCACAGGACACGAGGAAUCCGGUGGGAAGUCGGGGGGACCAUCCCCCAAGGCUAAAUACUACUUGGUGACCGAUAGCGUAUAGUACCGUGAGGGAAAGGUGAAAAGAACCCCGGGAGGGGAGUGAAAGAGAACCUGAAACCCUAUGUUUACAAGCAGUGGGAGCGCAAGCGACCAUGUACUUUUUGUAGAACGGGCCGGCGAGUUACUGUGUGUAGCGAGGUUAAGGUGUAGAGCACCGGAGCCGUAGCGAGAGCGAGUCUCAAAUGGGCGAAUAGUUGCAUACAGUAGACCCGAAACCGGGUGACCUAUCCAUGGACAGGAUGAAGCGGUGGUAAAGCACCGUGGAGGUCCGAACCACACGUAUGUUGAAAAAUGCGGGGAUGAGCUGUGGAUAGCGGAGAAAUUCCAAUCGAACUCGGAGAUAGCUGGUUCUCCCCGAAAUAGCUUUAGGGCUAGCCUCGAUUUAGAUUAUUGGGGGUAGAGCACUGAAUGGGCUAGGGGGCCACAAAGCUUACUGAACCCUAUCAAACUGCGAAUACCAAUUAAUUGAUGAUCGGGAGUCAGACAGUGAGAGAUAAGUUCCAUUGUCGAAAGGGAAACAGCCCAGAUCCACGACUAAGGUCCCAAAAUACACGUUAAGUGGAAAAGGAUGUGCAGUUGCACAGACAACCAGGAUGUUGGCUUAGAAGCAGCCACUCAUUCAAAGAGUGCGUAAUAGCUCACUGGUCGAGUGAAUGUGCGCCGAAAAUAUACCGGGGCUAAACGUGAUACCGAAGUCUGGGGAUCAAGAAAUUGAUCGGUAGGGGAGCAACGCAUACGGACAGAAGCAGAAGCGGGAGCGACUGUGGACUGUAUGGGAGAGAGAAUGCCGGCAUGAGUAGCGAGAGCAAAGUGAGAAUCUUUGCCGUCGAAAGCCUAAGGUUUCCUGAGGAAGGCUCGUCCUCUCAGGGUAAGUCGGGACCUAAGCCGAGGACAAGAGUCGUAGGCGAUGGACAACAGGUUGAUAUUCCUGUACCGUACUUAAGCGUUUGACUGAAGCAGUGACACAGAAGGAUAGACAGACCGGGGGAAUGGUAGACUCCGGCCAAGCAGUGAGGCUGACAUGUAGUGAAGUACGCAUGUUAAGGCUGGGCUGUGAUGGGGACUGAAGAUUAGUAAGGAAGCUGUUGAAUUCACACUGGCGAGAAAAGCUGCUAAGGAGCGAGAGUAUGCCCGUACCGCAAACCGACACAGGUAGGCGAGGAGAGAAUCCUAAGACGAGCGGGAGAACCCUUGUUAAGGAACUCGGCAAAAUGACUCCGUAACUUAGGGAGAAGGAGUGCCUCGAGAGAGGCCGCAGAGAAUAGGCCCAAGCGACUGUUUACCAAAAACACAGGUCUGUGCGAAGUAGAGAUACGACGUAUACGGGCUGACGCCUGCCCAGUGCCGGAAGGUUAAGGGGAAGUGUUAGGGCAACCGAAGCACGGAACUUAAGCCCCGGUGAACGGCGGCCGUAACUAUAACGGUCCUAAGGUAGCGAAAUUCCUUGUCGGGUAAGUUCCGACCCGCACGAAUGGCGUAACGACUUGGGCACUGUCUCAACAAGGGACCCGGCGAAAUUGUAGUAUGUGUGAAGAUGCACAUUACCCGCGAUAGGACGGAAAGACCCCGUAGAGCUUUACUGUAGUUUAACAUUGGAUU